GACUUUGUUGGAUGACUGCAGCAAGAAAUCGCCUGCAUGGAACAUAAUGGACAUAAUGGGAAAGGACAUCAGCAGGAAUGAGCUGAGAAAACGUAAUCAUUGAUGAGAGCAUGUGUCGAGAGUAUCAUUUCAUGAACGGCAGCAGGAAUCAAGGAAAAAACGGAUGCAAAAUUUGGACCAUCACGGGGAAUAGGAGCGAACCUGCCCAUUGCCACAGCAACUUGAUAAUGUGAGCCUCCGGAAGAAUGCUACGGGCCCA
Molecule: long non-coding RNA, 259 nt
Organism: Callorhinchus milii (elephant shark)
Lineage: Eukaryota; Metazoa; Chordata; Chondrichthyes; Chimaeriformes; Callorhinchidae
Exons: 3
Source: RefSeq, a predicted model, not a curated record